CCGCAGGGUCUUCUAAACCAGAAAGUCUACGGAGCUAGCGCCAGGCAAUUUGCGGUGCUCCCCCUUUAGACGCAGUGUUAGAAACAGGCAGGGGGAAAGGCAUCGUCGCUGAAGCUGAAACCAGGCGGCCGGAGUUCUCAGGGAUGAACCUCGAGUUGCUGGAGUCCUUUGGGCAGAAUUAUCCAGAGGAAGCUGAUGGAACUUUGGAUUGUAUCAGCAUGGCCCUGACUUGCACCUUUAACAGGUGGGGCACGCUGCUUGCAGUUGGCUGUAAUGAUGGCCGAAUUGUCAUCUGGGAUUUUUUGACAAGAGGCAUUGCUAAAAUAAUCAGUGCGCACAUCCAUCCAGUCUGUUCUUUAUGCUGGAGUCGAGAUGGUCAUAAGCUCGUGAGUGCUUCCACGGAUAACAUAGUGUCACAAUGGGAUGUUCUUUCAGGCGACUGCGACCAGAGGUUUCGAUUCCCUUCACCCAUCUUAAAAGUCCAGUAUCAUCCACGAGAUCAGAACAAGGUUCUCGUGUGUCCCAUGAAAUCUGCUCCUGUCAUGUUGACCCUUUCAGAUUCCAAACAUGUUGUUCUGCCGGUAGAUGAUGACUCCGACUUGAACGUGGUUGCCUCUUUUGAUAGGCGAGGGGAAUAUAUCUAUACAGGAAAUGCAAAAGGCAAGAUUUUGGUCCUAAAAACAGAUUCUCAGGAUCUUGUUGCUUCCUUCAGAGUAACAACUGGAACAAGCAAUACCACAGCCAUUAAGUCCAUAGAGUUUGCCCGGAAGGGGAGUUGCUUUUUAAUUAACACGGCAGAUCGAAUAAUCAGAGUUUAUGAUGGCAGAGAAAUCUUAACCUGUGGAAGAGAUGGAGAGCCGGAACCUAUGCAGAAAUUGCAGGACUUGGUAAACAGGACCCCGUGGAAGAAAUGCUGUUUCUCUGGGGAUGGAGAAUACAUAGUGGCAGGUUCGGCCCGGCAGCAUGCCCUGUACAUCUGGGAGAAGAGCAUAGGUAACCUGGUGAAGAUUCUCCACGGGACGAGAGGAGAGCUCCUGCUGGAUGUAGCUUGGCAUCCUGUUCGACCCAUCAUAGCUUCCAUUUCUAGUGGAGUGGUAUCUAUCUGGGCACAGAAUCAAGUAGAAAACUGGAGUGCCUUUGCACCAGACUUCAAAGAAUUGGAUGAAAAUGUAGAAUACGAGGAAAGGGAAUCAGAGUUUGACAUUGAAGAUGAAGAUAAGAGUGAGCCGGAGCAGACAGGGGCUGAUGCUGCUGAAGACGAGGAGGUGGAUGUCACCAGCGUGGAUCCUAUCGCUGCUUUCUGUAGCAGUGAUGAAGAGCUGGAAGAUUCAAAGGCUCUAUUGUAUUUACCCAUUGCCCCUGAGGUAGAAGACCCAGAAGAAAAUCCUUACGGCCCCCCGCCAGAUGCAGUCCAAACCUCCCUGAUGGACGAAGGCGCUAGUUCAGAGAAGAAGAGGCAGUCUUCAGCAGAUGGGUCCCAGCCACCUAAGAAGAAACCCAAAACAACCAACAUAGAACUUCAAGGAGUGCCAAACGAUGAAGUCCAUCCACUACUGGGUGUGAAGGGGGAUGGCAAAUCCAAGAAGAAGCAAGCAGGCCGGCCUAAAGGAUCAAAAGGUAAAGAGAAAGAUUCUCCAUUUAAACCGAAACUCUACAAAGGGGACAGAGGUUUACCUCUGGAAGGAUCAGCGAAGGGUAAAGUGCAGGCGGAACUCAGCCAGCCCUUGACAGGUAAGGACACAUUGGGAGCGCUGUCUGGCUUGCUUUGUGGCCUUGCUUUGUACGGCCCCUGACUCCGUUUACCUGUAGCAUUUUUUCCUUCCUUCCCUCCAUUUUUCAAGUGGCAGAUUUUCUCUGAGUUUUAAGCUGCCAAUAAGGACAGGCUAAACCAUAUUGGCUUAAUUCAGUGGCUUUCAACCCUGAGUCCCCAAAUAGAUUUCAAGAAAUCUACAUUCCCUUGAUAUUAGAAGCAGAAUAUUGUGGGAAUAUUUGUGUGGGGAAGAUGCCUAUACCUUUAAUUAGAGUCCUGUUGGGAUCCACUCCUUGGAAAGGAAUAACAGCCCCUGGUUUAAUUCCCUCCUUCAUUUGUGUUUGCUCCCAGAUGUUUUGCCUCCAAUGAAAGAGCCGUACAGUAACCAGAACCAUCAGCUUGCUUUGUAUAUAUAGCCCCCGACUGUUAAACCGUAGCAUCUCUUCUCGCUCUUUCUCUUCAGAUUGUUCAAAUCCCAGAGCCUUUUGUCCCUCCCAGUAGUCUAGAGGCAAUAAUGACAUUGAUGGUAGUACCUUCAUGAUAAAAAAGAAAAUUGAGGUGUUUUGUUUUUUAAAAACAGAAGGAGAUCACCAAAAGGACAGAAACUGCCAUCUCUAUGUAGCUCUUUAGAACCUAAGCCUUUGAAAUUUACUGAGUUUUCUGACUUUUAUAUGUUGAGGGAUUUUUAUUGGGGAUGGGAGAACAAUUUCAAUUUUUUAUCAAAUAUUUGUGAAUGUAGGCAGAUUCCAUUUUUUGUUAUAUAGAAACUUUUUGUUAUAUAGAAGCACUACUUUAGUUAAUACUAUACUCUCAAUAUUUUUGCAGCUAGGUCAAUAGACUUAAGAGGCCAGAUUGAUAAAAUGUGUGGUUGUAUUCAGGUUUUUCCCACUUGCUUUAAAAUGUUAACGUUUUCCAUGAACCCACAUGAGAUGCAGUGCACUGGAAUGCGGAGCAGAAGUCCUUGUUUAUGCCUUUAGUCAGUCAGUCACCAGGCGCACGGAUCCUCCAGAGGAGCUGAAGCAGACUCAGUCGCGCAUUAGAGUAUCCUGCUUCGACUAGUUAGUUCAGGUUUUCAGCGGCCGGCACCGGGCCGCUGAGCACACCACGUCUUCGGCAGCAGCGCCGGUGGUGCUCCAGUGGUGACCCGCCACCGCCUCCACGUUCAGUCCCCGCACGCCUCCGUCUCUGUGCUUUAAAUAGUCUGAGAGGGUUCUCUGGGUGUUGCCAGCAAAGACUGCAGAUGGGUAGUUGACUCGUUAAAUAAAAAUGAUUCUUUCAGAACCCAUUUCUUGCACAAGCUGAUGCUACUACAGAAGAAAUGUAGUUUAAAGUUUAAGUAGAUCUUCCUGGCCCAGAUUGCUGAAAUGCUUCAGGGUAAUUUAAAAUGUGACCACACUUCUUGAAUUAGUUGAAAUAGUCUACGACAUAGUCUCCUAGUUUCUUCAAAAGCUGUCUGUAAUUAAUCAUUUGCUUUAUAAUAGUAAAUAUAUAGUAAAUAAACCAUUUAAAGCUUUCAAAGCUCACAUUUCUCUUUAUACACUACAGAGAUUUCAGCUUUUAAUUUUAGUUGAUGUGGACACCAACAGUAACUAAAUAUCUCGGGCAUUUGCCAGACUGGCCCUCUGUCAAGGGUGCUGUGAGGUACUGUCAGGUUUACAGCCUGGAGCACGACCGCCGUGCAGUUUCUCAGCUGUGCUUCAGAAGUGUCUAAAAGAGUCAAAGUCAGCCCUGACUGGUAUGGCUCUGUAGGUUAGGCAUUGUCCCGCAGACCAAAAGGUCAGCAGUUUAAUUCCUGGUCAGGGCAUGUGCCUGGGUUGCAGCCCAGGUCCCUAGUUAGGGGUGUGCUGGAGGCAGCUGAUUAAUGUUUCUCUCUCUCUCUUCCUCCCUUUUCCUCUCUCUCAAAAUAAGUAAAAUCUUUCUUAAAAAUUUAAUUUGGGUGCUUGUUUCAGGAGCACAUCUACUAAAAUUGGAAUGACACAAAGAUUAGCAUGGCCCCUGUGCAAGGAUCUCACACACAUCCCCAAAAUCAGUUCAGUCUGAGGGUUAUAUACAAAUAUAAGAGUUAAGGUUUUGUGGACCUUCCCUCCCCUGCAAUGCCCUAGUUUUGCACUACAGCUGAAUUGUUCAAGGGCAGGAUUAUAGGUGUAGGUUGUGUUAUUGCUCAAGAUAUCUAAAUGACACCUGUCUGUUAAUAUCUGCAGUUGAGCAGUUACUGAAGACACUGCAGUAAGCCCUGACAAAGCUGCUAUAGUGUUUCAUAUUGCAGCAGGACAUUAUGCAUUUCAAGGGAAGAUUGGAAGACACAUAGGCCACUAUAGAAAUAAUCUGGCUAUCUGGAAUCUAGGGCUACAGAAGAUUCUUUCCUAUCAAACAGCUCAUCAGUAUUGGAUAGCACCCGUGGACCAACACCCAUGAAGACACACUUUCUGUAAUGAGGGAGGAUCCGUCAGUGAAGUAUGCAGGGGGAGCGAUCUCUGAACUGUUAUGAAGAUCCUUGAAGUGCUUCGCUUUUUCCCACUUUUCCAUCAUGUGGCUUCUGGACACUGUUCAGUCCUUUGAAAUUGACUUUAAUUUAAAACAAAUGCCUCUGCUUCACCCAGGAGGUGGAAGGAGUGAAUUUUAUGUUUGAAUGAAGAAGUGAAUUAUGAAAGAAGAGUAUACGUACGUCCCUUCCCUUUCAAGCAUAAGUCCAAAUAGGCGCUCAGGAAGGAGGAUUUGUGAAGACAUCAAGUGGGAGAUGGACUCAUCUAAACGUCCAUACUGAGUUGUGUUGCUGGAGAAAAGAUACCUGUUUUGCUCAUCCAGUUUUGUCGCACCCAGCACCAUUCUGACCUGUCACUUCCUUUCUCCUGUCUGCCUUCUGUCCUCGGUGCAUGUCCUUGAAUAAUUUGUUCUGAUCUGGAAGUCUGCUACCAAUAUCUUUGGAAAACUUCUUUUGCAUAUUUUUCCAUUUUGAAAUGUACCCUGUCACCAGAUACCUCCUGUAUUUCCAUAUUGCAUACAAAGGAUGCGUAAAAAGAAAGUGCUUGAAACAUUUGAAAUUUUUAGGAAGGAAAGAAAGAUGAGAAAGUCCGUCCCCCCUUCCUAACACACCCCUUGUGCUCACCUGGGCCGUGAGAGGGGUUUUGUUUUCCUUUGGCUGCACACUUCCUGCCAGUGCUGGUUCGUUCUCGUCAAUCAUGGUUUUUUGAAGGUGGCUGGUUUCGUCCGUCGCCAGCAAACAAUCAUCAGUAGUUCGCGUUGCUUCACGCGUGCUGGCCUCCGCGGAUGAAACCAGCCAACCCGUCUCUCAGCGAGCUUCUCUUGUGUGGGGGUGGGGGCUCUGCGCGAGGACUGACGCACAGCCGUUCCCAAUCACAGCAGCAGCAACCACGGUUCAAAUCACAGAUGAAGGAACAAAUUCUUUUUGUCGUUGCUUGUGGAUAGCUGCCCUUCCACCGGUCAUCGAGUUUCCCCCUCUCGUGUCCACGCUCCUUUUCCUUACGACAUGUUUCAGUCACUUCCUUUCUGUGAAAGGUUGCUUAGCUUUUAAAAUUUUUUUUUACAUUUUGCUUUUGCUGUUCUUCUAUAUAAAAAAUAGAUUGGAUGGAUGUGUACAUUAAGUGUUGGAAAUUCUCUGAAAACCAGCGUAAAGAAACCAGUGUGGGGAGGGCUCACUAGUUGUCCAAGGAGAGCUUCAGUUGACCAGAACUUAGCCUGGCUCAGCGUUUUCAGAGGAGAGUUGAAACACUGCUUCUCGUGAAAUCUCUGCCAGCUGGUGGGUGCUCCUGUCGGUGGCCAAACAGUGGAUUGCCUUUUGGAUUUUAGGAUAGAAAUCAAAGUAGAACACAUCAGUGAGAGCCUCUUUCUCCUAUUCCAUCUUUUACAACAAACUAUUCAGUAACUGAAGACCUCUUCUUGAGUCUGUUGCAACAUAUCUAUAUUUUUAGCUGCCACUACUUUUUUUUCAAAUGCUUGUUCUGUGAAUUUCUCCUCAUGUUCCGUCUCCCACCGUGGUCGAGGUCAGUAGGUGGCUCACCAACACUUCCGUCUGCAAACAUCACUCCCAUUCCUUGUCUCUCUGCUGUGGCGCUGCUGUAGUGUACAGACUGUGUGAUACAAAGUUCCUGGCAGCGGCUCCUAAUAAUUAUUUAUGCCUUUAGACUAUUUUUCAGCUCAUUAAACCUCAGUCCAUUUCAGUUUGAUUUUCUCAAUGUGUACAAUACAAGCAUAUUCUCUUCUUCCCUUUUGUCAUCUCCCCUUUUGUUUUUUAAUGUUCUGUAGUUUUGUACAAGACAAGACUUAGCCUUGGGUAUUUCUUGCUGAAGCUUUAAUGCCUUGUCAAUAAAAUCGGAUGUUUAUUAAA
Phyllostomus discolor (pale spear-nosed bat) is the source of this 6095-nucleotide RNA transcript. It is a transcript of the gene named RB binding protein 5, histone lysine methyltransferase complex subunit, with no coding region annotated. The transcript has 14 exons. Lineage: Eukaryota; Metazoa; Chordata; Mammalia; Chiroptera; Phyllostomidae. The record is from RefSeq and is a predicted model, not a curated record.